UAGGAGGCAAAAAAAUAUUCCCCCCUCCGUAGAAACCAAUUUUCAUUUGUUUUGAUUUCUCGUUUGAAAAACUGAUUUCUUCUCAUGAGCCCUCCUACCUACACGAACUUUAGUUACACCCUGUAAUCAGUAACUGUGGCUCCUCCAUCCCCAGUUACAAAUAACCGGUUACAUUGAGAGGGAAAUUUGAAAAGAAAGUAGACAAAGUAAGGAAUAUAUUUUCAAAUAUAUUAUUAGAUGGCGCUGAUGCAAGAUGAAAUGACAUUUUUUAUUUUUGAAUUUGCCGAUAAUAAAUUCGUAACCAGCAAGUAACCGAUUAUAUUUUGGUUAUACUAACCAAACGUAUUUCACCUUAAAGCACCACAACCAAGAACCUCUUUUAAUGCUCCUAUUAACUUCUUAUCUCUCCUCUCCUGUCUAUAGCUCUCAUUGUCAUGAUACCACAUCUUUUCUUUACCAAGCUUAUUUUUGCGAAAACAGCUAUCUCUUUGAAACCAGAUUUGAUCCCAUUCUCUAAUCCAUUCAUAUUUGGAACUAAAACAGGAUAACUCACAUCAUGUUUCUUUUCAAUUUGACUGUACACUUGUUUAUUAUUAGCCAUUUCGGGUACCCAUCUAGAUGUUUCGUUCACUCUUUUUUUCAUUCUGUAGUCCAUCUCGAGGUGCAACCUAAACAACUUUGACUGGAGAGUGGUAAAGCCAGUUUCAUGGACGAUAUUUGCCAGAGAUCAACAAAUGAUAAACCAGAUCUAAUUGUUUGAAAACCGGUAAGAUAAGUUUGGGCGACCCUUUGUAUUUGAAAAGUGAUUUGGAAAAACUUCAUGGUGUGAUGUUGAUUCAAACAAUCUUGAUCAACAACAGUCAACAAUAGGAGGUAAAUGUGAAUACAAUUCAUUGGAAAAGCUCAGCGGAAUGACCUCUCAGCGCCAAGUUCCUAUUUUCAACUUUUUUUCUUGAUGUUGAUGUUGAUUGACCUUGUUGUUUUAUCGACUAGCAUAAAUCAAAAGUUAAUUUGAAGAGCCCACUUAUCUUCCCAUCAAAUUGCAUUAUAAUCAUCUUCAUUCUCUCUAUUGUUUUCAACCGAUGGACCGAUUAUGAAAUUGAAAAAGGCAGAACUUGUUUCAACUUCAAUAUAGAUUAGCAAUAUCAUACUCCAAUUUUUUGAGGAACUCAUUUUGCUUGAGUUGAUUUGAUUUUUUACCCUCUUUCACCUUGCAAUUUUAGAUGAACAAAUGCAUCAAAUAUUCAUAGUCUUUCUGUUACUGACUGUUGUGAGAUUUAAAUCUCAUUUACAAACUGAUUUCAAGACUUUUAUUGAUCAAACAAUCAUUGACGCAUAUCGUUGUGCGGUACUAUUAAGAAAGUACGGCAUAAUAAGCGCCUUACAUAUAAUGUUAUCGAGUCAAUGUCAAAAAAGGAAGUCAAAGAAGUUUGCUCAUACAAUCAAACGAAAAAUUUGAACCUAAAUUCUUCCUCGUCUCUAGAUUCAACUCCAAGAUCUUCCCAAACAUCAUCGAUCUUUCGGGGAUCUCUUGCCAUUGUUUUGGUGGCAAGCUUCAAAUGUUUCAAAGCUGUUUCCAAUCCUUUCUGCUGGAAUGCAAGAUUGAACCAAGGAUUUGAUAAAGACUUCCAGUGUGAACCGAUGGUAACGUAACCAUGUCUAGGGAUGUAAGAAACAUUGUUAGCUACAAAUCGACCAUUGGCGAAGAAACCAGUUGAUUUGUCAGUUGAAUACCAUUCAUUGUAAGAGGCUUGAGAGUAGACACCACAACAUUUUCAACUGUUUACAAGCAAUGUCGACUAAACACAUCUCUAUGAUGGCUUUCUUGAUUUUGAGUGACAAUGUUUCGUCCAUUUUAUCAACUUCGACCCAUUCAAAAUCUCUGGUCACAGUAUGAUGUCCAGUGAAUCAGUCGAUUCUCUGAUCUUUAUGUAAAUAAGUACCAUUUAUCAUUGUAUUACAUUGUGCAACAUAUUUUGAGAGGUUGACUUUCAACUUUUCAACAUGAUGAUAGUGUUGUAAAGAUUGGUAAUUCUUCUGAAAUUCCCAAAAUCAUGUUUACAAAGUAAUCAACUUAGUGAAAUAAAUCGCAGUUUACAUAUCA
This is a non-coding RNA of Tetranychus urticae (two-spotted spider mite), 2104 nucleotides long. NCBI's taxonomy places the organism in Eukaryota, Metazoa, Arthropoda, Arachnida, Trombidiformes, Tetranychidae. The record is from RefSeq and is a predicted model, not a curated record.